ACCCGGGUGAAGGAGGAUG
RNAcentral lists this microRNA (19 nucleotides) under Schistosoma mansoni. Its description in RNAcentral is "sma-miR-8475-3p". The record is from miRBase by way of RNAcentral. Lineage: Eukaryota; Metazoa; Platyhelminthes; Trematoda; Strigeidida; Schistosomatidae.